AACGGUCUAUACCUGCGGUACCUGCGGAAGGAUCAUUAUUGAAAUAUCCUUAGGAUGUUGCUGGCCUUUUGGGGCAUUGUGCACUCCGCCUUUUCAUCUCACCUGUGAACUUAUUGUAGGCCAGGUUUAUUUAACCUGUGCCUAUGUUAUUUUUAUACACACCAUGUUUAUUAGAAUGUCUAAUAUCAGGACCUUUACCGGUCAAAAAUAUAAUAACAACUUUUAACAAUGGAUCUCUAG
Molecule: unclassified non-coding RNA, 240 nt
Filed under: soil metagenome
Description: partial contains 5.8S ribosomal RNA, internal transcribed spacer 2, and large subunit ribosomal RNA
Source: RNAcentral